GGAUGUAGCCAAGCGGUUAAGGCAACGGACUUUGACUCCGUCACCCGCUGGUUCAAAUCCAGCCAUC
This 67-nucleotide transfer RNA is filed under the name human gut metagenome. It matches the Rfam family "tRNA". Rfam says of the family: Transfer RNA (tRNA) molecules are approximately 80 nucleotides in length. Their secondary structure includes four short double-helical elements and three loops (D, anti-codon, and T loops). Further hydrogen bonds mediate the characteristic L-shaped molecular structure. tRNAs have two regions of fundamental functional importance: the anti-codon, which is responsible for specific mRNA codon recognition, and the 3' end, to which the tRNAs corresponding amino acid is attached (by aminoacyl-tRNA synthetases). tRNAs cope with the degeneracy of the genetic code in two manners: having more than one tRNA (with a specific anti-codon) for a particular amino acid; and 'wobble' base-pairing, i.e. permitting non-standard base-pairing at the 3rd anti-codon position. The record is from RNAcentral.